UACGAAGGGGACUAGCGUUGUUCGGAAUUACUGGGCGUAAAGCGCUCGUAGGCGGAUUUGUUAGUCAGGGGUGAAAUCCCGGGGCUCAACCUCGGAACUGCCUUUGAUACUGCAAGUCUCGAGUCCGAUAGAGGUGGGUGGAAUUCCUAGUGUAGAGGUGAAAUUCGUAGAUAUUAGGAAGAACACCGGUGGCGAAGGCGGCCCACUGGAUCGGUACUGACGCUGAGGUGCGAAAGCGUGGGGAGCAAACAGG
RNAcentral lists this ribosomal RNA (253 nucleotides) under uncultured bacterium. RNAcentral's name for it is "partial 16S ribosomal RNA". It matches the Rfam family "Bacterial small subunit ribosomal RNA", at positions 524 to 776 of the family's 1533-position model. The record is from RNAcentral.